This 331-nucleotide long non-coding RNA is filed under the name Oryza sativa Indica Group (long-grained rice). RNAcentral describes it as "lncRNA OsZS97_03G040830". The record is from RNAcentral. Lineage: Eukaryota; Viridiplantae; Streptophyta; Magnoliopsida; Poales; Poaceae.
AUGGACAGGAAUGGGCCUCCGCUGGGAACACACAAAGGCCAAGGCGGAGGUGGGGAGGUGCCUGUAGAGCGAUUGGAUUCGUAUAAAGAAAAGCAUCGUUUGCCUUGCCCAAAUCCUGCCGCAGAUGCCAAGUUUCAUAACAACAUAGAUCCUGCAAGUCUUGAGACGCUAGUGCAGGAGAAGAAAGACGAGCUGUUCCAUCUGCUACUUCAGAUGGAUCUUCACAAUGGCUCGUGUGAAAAAAGUGCCGAGGAGAACAAAGCCAUACUGAGGCUGCUUUGGCAAUUCCGUGCUGAGACGCGAGAUAAUGGUACCUUGUAAGUAGGCUCUA